RNAcentral lists this unclassified non-coding RNA (274 nucleotides) under Hevea brasiliensis (rubber tree). Lineage: Eukaryota; Viridiplantae; Streptophyta; Magnoliopsida; Malpighiales; Euphorbiaceae. The record is from RNAcentral.
GAAGGAGUGGCGGCUGAAGACGGCGGUGUAUUUCACACAGACCUGCGCCGUGAACAACAUUUAUUUCCAUAUUUAUAGAGGAGAAAUUAAGCUGCCGUUGGCGGGGGAGGAGGAGAUUCGGAUCGGCGGAAUGCCGCCGCUGACGGCGGCGGAUUUGCCAUCGUUUGUGAAAGAUGUGAAAUCGUGUCCGGGGUUUUUAGAUUUAGUGAUUAAUCAGUUUCGGAACAUUGAGGAAGCAGAUUGGUUAAUGUGCAACAGUUUCUACGAACAAGAA